This 253-nucleotide ribosomal RNA is filed under the name uncultured bacterium. Its description in RNAcentral is "partial 16S ribosomal RNA". It matches the Rfam family "Bacterial small subunit ribosomal RNA", at positions 524 to 776 of the family's 1533-position model. The record is from RNAcentral.
UACGGGGGGGGCAAGCGUUGUUCGGAAUUACUGGGCGUAAAGGGCUCGUAGGCGGCCAACUAAGUCAGACGUUAAAUCCCUCGGCUUAACCGGGGAACUGCGUCUGAUACUGGAUGGCUAGAGGUUGGGAGAGGGAUGCGGAAUUCCAGGUGUAGCGGCGAAAUGCGUAGAUAUCUGGAGGAACACCGGUGGCGAAGGCGGCAUCCUGGACCAAUUCUGACGCUGAUGAGCGAAAGCCAGGGGAGCAAACGGG